GCGCCCCCUGCCUCGAGGCGCACCAGGCGCCGGCCCCGCAGCUGGGUGAACCCGGGCGGCGGCCCCGCUGCCGCUCCUCUCGCGUCCGCCCGCCACCCCCCGCGCACUCAAGAAGCCUCCCCCGGGACCCCCGCGCCCGCCGGCCCGGACGCCCCCACCCCGGCGGCGCCCCCUGUCCACCCGCCGCAGCGCCCGGCCCGGCGGCCCGGAUUGCACCCCAGCCUCUCCCUGCACCCAUCACGCGCGCGCCCCGCACCCCGCGCCCUCUCCAGGAGCAAAUCGGCUCCAGGGGCGCGCGCGCGGGCUGGCCGGGCGGCGGCGCCUUCAGAGCCCCGCCACGUACCUGGCGGCCCGGGCGGACGAGGGGAGCGCGGCGCGGGAGCGCAGGAGACUCGGAGCCUCCGGUGCCGCCGCCGCCGUUUCCGGGUUGGCGGGGCUCACGUCACCGCCACAGGUUUGCGAGCUGCCCCCGCCGCGGCGGCAGCAGCAGCAGCAGCGGCCCGGGCGAGUGCCAGGCGAGAAAUAACUAUAAAAGGAAGAGGCGCGGCGAAGAGGAAGAGGAAGCGCUGUUUACCUUCGAGAAGCCGAGCCGCCGGCGCUCGCACAAAAGGAGGACGCUCGCCUCGCGACGCGCCUCCCCCCGCGCCCAGUCCCCGCCGCAUCGCGGGGCCCCGGCGUCAGCGCGCGCCGCGCCCCGGGACCGCCCUGCGCCGGCCCCCACCCCAGAACCCCGCGCCCGCCUGGCCCAUGUCCUCCCGAGCCGGGGCGCCACGGGCCCGGGAUGGUGGUGACCUUGGGCAAGUCACCGCGGGGCGCGCUGCGGUUGGGGGUCAUUGCCCUCAUUGUGCGAGGAGGAAACCCGGCCCUCAGAGGGGCAGGGGUGGCCCCCAAGGUCACGGCCUGUCAGGCAGGGCUUGGGCUCGAGUCCCGGUCUCCAGACCUUCGGACCGGCCAGGUUCCUGGCCCUGGGUCGCUUCCCCCUCACCUGGACUUCAGGAAUGGUGA
This 1005-nucleotide long non-coding RNA is filed under the name Papio anubis (olive baboon). RNAcentral describes it as "lncRNA (ENSPANG00000038023.1)". The record is from RNAcentral. Lineage: Eukaryota; Metazoa; Chordata; Mammalia; Primates; Cercopithecidae.